Molecule: ribosomal RNA, 1340 nt
Filed under: uncultured bacterium
Lineage: Bacteria
Description: bacterial SSU rRNA
Rfam family: Bacterial small subunit ribosomal RNA
Source: RNAcentral
GACGAACGCUGGCGGCGUGCUUAACACAUGCAAGUCGAACGGAAAGGCCUGCAGCUUGCUGCGGGUACUCGAGUGGCGAACGGGUGAGUAACACGUGGGUGAUCUGCCUUGCACUUCGGGAUAAGCUUGGGAAACUGGGUCUAAUACCGGAUAGGACAGCUGUUUAGUGUCAGUUGUGGAAAGUUUUUUCGGUGCAAGAUGAGCUUGCGGCCUAUCAGCUUGUUGGUGGGGUAAUGGCCUACCAAGGCGUCGACGGGUAGCCGGCCUGAGAGGGUGUACGGCCACAUUGGGACUGAGAUACGGCCCAGACUCCUACGGGAGGCAGCAGUGGGGAAUAUUGCACAAUGGGCGGAAGCCUGAUGCAGCGACGCCGCGUGGGGGAUGAGGGCCUUCGGGUUGUAAACUCCUUUCGACAGGGACGAAGCUUUUGUGACGGUACCUGUAUAAGAAGCACCGGCUAACUACGUGCCAGCAGCCGCGGUAAUACGUAGGGUGCGAGCGUUGUCCGGAAUUACUGGGCGUAAAGAGCUCGUAGGUGGUUUGUCGCGUCGUCUGUGAAUUCCGGGGCUUAACUUCGGGCGUGCAGGCGAUACGGGCUGACUUGAGUGCUGUAGGGGAGACUGGAAUUCCUGGUGUAGCGGUGAAAUGCGCAGAUAUCAGGAGGAACACCGAUGGCGAAGGCAGGUCUCUGGGCAGUAACUGACGCUGAGGAGCGAAAGCAUGGGUAGCGAACAGGAUUAGAUACCCUGGUAGUCCAUGCCGUAAACGGUGGGCGCUAGGUGUAGGGGGCUUCCACGUCUUCUGUGCCGUAGCUAACGCAUUAAGCGCCCCGCCUGGGGAGUACGGCCGCAAGGCUAAAACUCAAAGGAAUUGACGGGGGCCCGCACAAGCGGCGGAGCAUGUGGAUUAAUUCGAUGCAACGCGAAGAACCUUACCUGGGCUUGACAUAUACAAGACAGGCGUAGAGAUACGUCCUCCCUUGUGGUUUGUAUACAGGUGGUGCAUGGUUGUCGUCAGCUCGUGUCGUGAGAUGUUGGGUUAAGUCCCGUAACGAGCGCAACCCUCGUCUUUAGUUACCAGCAAGUAGAGUUGGGGACUCUAGAGAUACUGCCGGUGAUAAACCGGAGGAAGGUGGGGAUGACGUCAAAUCAUCAUGCCCUAUAUGUCUUGGGCUACACACGUGCUACAAUGGUCUGAACAAAGCGCAGCGAACUCGUGAGGGUAAGCAAAUCGCAGAAAACAGAUCUCAGUUCGGAUUGUAGGCUGCAACUCGCCUACAUGAAGUCGGAGUUGCUAGUAAUCGUGGAUCAGAAUGCCACGGUGAAUGCGUUCCCGGGUCU